GGGGAAUAUUGGUCAAUGGGCGAAAGCCUGAACCAGCAAUGCCGCGUGAGUGAUGAAGGCCUUCGGGUUGUAAAGCUCUGUCAGUGGGAACGAAUAAACCGAUUAAUACCCGGCGAUGACGGUACCCACAAAGGAAGCACCGGCUAACUCUGUGCCAGCAGCCGCGGUAAUACAGAGGGUGCAAGCGUUGUUCGGAAUUACUGGGCGUAAAGCGCGUGUAGGCGGUCCUUCAAGUCGGACGUGAAAUCCCUGGGCUUAACCCAGGAACUGCGUUCGAAACUGCUGGACUAGAGUAUCGGAGGGGAUGGUGGAAUUCCUGGUGUAGAGGUGAAAUUCGUAGAUAUCAGGAGGAACACCUGUGGCGAAGGCGACCAUCUGGAAGAUUACUGACGCUGAGACGCGAAAGCGUGGGGAGCAAAC
RNAcentral lists this ribosomal RNA (420 nucleotides) under uncultured bacterium. Its description in RNAcentral is "bacterial SSU rRNA". It matches the Rfam family "Bacterial small subunit ribosomal RNA", at positions 356 to 773 of the family's 1533-position model. The record is from RNAcentral.